UACAAGCUAUGAUGAUGAUGACCUUUGUGUCACAUUGCUGAAAGAUCAUGUGGACCUUUAAGUCACUACCUCAUCUGAGCUUGUG
This is a small nucleolar RNA of Myxocyprinus asiaticus (Chinese sucker), 85 nucleotides long. RefSeq annotates it as small nucleolar RNA SNORD11B. The record is from RefSeq and is a predicted model, not a curated record. Lineage: Eukaryota; Metazoa; Chordata; Actinopteri; Cypriniformes; Catostomidae. The transcript has a single exon.